GGUUAGACGCCGCGUGAGGGAUAGGAGCGUAUAGCCCGCAAUGGCGUUGUCGCGUAGCAAAAACGCAAUGAGGACUUGAAGCGGAUAGCCCGACAGCAA
Molecule: small RNA, 99 nt
Filed under: Flavobacterium tiangeerense
Lineage: Bacteria; Pseudomonadati; Bacteroidota; Flavobacteriia; Flavobacteriales; Flavobacteriaceae
Description: Flavo-1 RNA
Source: RNAcentral